AACCCAUUAGGACCAUCAAAGCUUAAAACCCAAAAUUCAAACAAAUCCAUCAGGGCCUUCAUUCGUUCAUCUUAAAGUUGUUGUCAAUACAAAACCCCUUGAAGGGUUUCUUGUUUUGAUGGAGAGGGUUUUGAGGGAGAGGGAGACUGUGUAGAGUACCAGCCUCUAAAUCUAUUGCUUCUUCAUCUUCAUCAUGCCAUUCUUCAUAACUAGUUUUAAAAU
This 222-nucleotide unclassified non-coding RNA is filed under the name Hevea brasiliensis (rubber tree). The record is from RNAcentral. Lineage: Eukaryota; Viridiplantae; Streptophyta; Magnoliopsida; Malpighiales; Euphorbiaceae.